GUGAUCACUUCAGCAGCACAAUACAAAAAUUGAAAUGAUACAGAGAAGAUUAGCAUGGCCCCUGUGCAAGGAUGACAUGAAAUUCAUGAAGUGUUCCAUAUUUUA
Molecule: small nuclear RNA, 105 nt
Organism: Phodopus roborovskii (desert hamster)
Lineage: Eukaryota; Metazoa; Chordata; Mammalia; Rodentia; Cricetidae
Source: RefSeq, a predicted model, not a curated record